UUGCUUGCCUUCGGCAAUGCGGGGUGUGGUUCGUUUGAUAGUGUUGUGUCUUGCGAACGUGAGUGCGUGUGAGUGGUGAUCGGGAUGGCUGUGUUGUUUGGCUCCUUCCUCGUGGUUUUGGAACUUUCAGCAGGCUAUAACCCUUCUCAUGCAUAAAUCAUGCUGUGGGGCCUCGGUGUUCAAUGGUGGUUCCUGUGUUGCCUACCCAUUUAUUGGUAUUCGUGUGCUGCGAAGACCCGUUCCUUCCUCACACCCCGUUGUGGUGGUUGGUGGGGGAUUUCUAAUUUGAUGCGUGUUUUGUGUUAGUCGUGCGUUGUAUCGGCUCUUGUGCCCACACGUGUAUAUUGUUCCCUUGGAUGCGGUGCAUGUGGGACGGUGUUUAUGCCUCGUUUCGUCGCUGUGAUAUAACGGUUGCCUUUGAAUGACACUUUGCCGUAGUGCCAGCCUUGCUAUCCCAUUGGUGGUUGCAAUGCUUGCAUGUCGUGNAUAGUCGUUAACGGANGCUACCUGGUUGAUC
RNAcentral lists this unclassified non-coding RNA (517 nucleotides) under Crotalaria speciosa. RNAcentral describes it as "partial contains external transcribed spacer and 18S ribosomal RNA". The record is from RNAcentral. Lineage: Eukaryota; Viridiplantae; Streptophyta; Magnoliopsida; Fabales; Fabaceae.